This 497-nucleotide ribosomal RNA is filed under the name uncultured bacterium. Its description in RNAcentral is "partial 16S ribosomal RNA". It matches the Rfam family "Bacterial small subunit ribosomal RNA", at positions 28 to 507 of the family's 1533-position model. The record is from RNAcentral.
GAUGAACGCUGGCGGCGUGCCUAAUACAUGCAAGUCGAGCGAACAGACGAGGAGCUUGCUCCUCUGACGUUAGCGGCGGACGGGUGAGUAACACGUGGAUAACCUACCUAUAAGACUGGGAUAACUUCGGGAAACCGGAGCUAAUACCGGAUAAUAUACUGAACCGCAUGGUUCAAUAGUGAAAGACGGUUUUGCUGUCACUUAUAGAUGGAUCCGCGCCGCAUUAGCUAGUUGGUAAGGUAACGGCUUACCAAGGCGACGAUGCGUAGCCGACCUGAGAGGGUGAUCGGCCACACUGGAACUGAGACACGGUCCAGACUCCUACGGGAGGCAGCAGUAGGGAAUCUUCCGCAAUGGGCGAAAGCUUGACGGAGCAACGCCGCGUGAGUGAUGAAGGUCUUCGGAUCGUAAAACUCUGUUAUUAGGGAAGAACAAAUGUGUAAGUAACUAUGCACGUCUUGACGGUACCUAAUCAGAAAGCCACGGCUAACUACGUG